GUAUGUCUUAGAUGGAGAAGCCCUUGGCACAAAGAUCUGUUGUGGCCCGUUAAUUUCCCAUUGAUUUGGUGAGCUAUUGAGAAGAAUGGAGUUUUCUAUGAUUUGGUGAGGAAUAUUUUCCCUUGCAAUGUCUAGAACCGAUUGCUGCUCAAACCAAAUUGUUGCAGCGCAUGGAAGGAUACAAAGUCAUGGGAGGAUACAAUGUCAGAUAUAGAUGAUACACAAGAAAGAUGCAAAUGGAUGCAUUUGGAUUUAGCUGGUUCGAGUAUUAUGAUGUGGCUGGAGCAAUCCACUUGAUUCAUUAUAGUGGUUGAUUCAUUGUAGUGAUUCUUCAGCAGCUGAGUAACAAGCUGUUCUUGGAUUCAGAUUGUCAGUUGUCUUGCUGGUAGGCCUCCAUCAGCUGGUGGCCUCAUUGCUAUUUUAUUUCUCUUGAUUCUAGUUAUCUGCAUCUAUAGGGAGUCAUAGGUGAAUUUAGUUUGGGGUUGACGGUAUCUUUUAAUUUUAAAGGUUGACAUUGAACGUCGAAUUUUGGUUUUGUACCUUUUCUUGAAAUUUUGGAUUUUGGAGAAUAUUAUUUAGCAGGUUGUGUUAUUUUGAGAUUACUGAAAUACAGAGGAGACUUUGUCGUUUUUUUUAUAAAUUUAUGCGGACGUAUUUAUCAUGGCGAAUUGGUUAUAAAUGGGUUAUGUGUAAAAGGCUUGCCGGACUUGGGGUGAUAGUCCGUGCGCCGGUCACGGCUUGGGAUUUUUGGGUCGUGACAAAGUUGGUAUCAGAGCCUUGGCUGUAGGUCCUAUUAGCUGCAGACAUGAGGUAGAGAUAGAAUCUUUCUAGUAAAUGGUGAACCGCGGCACAAUUUACUUUAGAGAUGCUAUUAACGCCUCAUGAGAGUCCUAAAGUUGUUUCCAAGUGUGAUUUGAGUUCGUUCCUCAUUCAUUGUGUUCCGAGUCAUGUCAUAUAUUCCAUGAAUAUUCUGUGUUCAGUGGGGAUGCCACCUAAAUUAGGAUUUUCAUCAUAUGAUGAGUUAACUUAUUAGGACCCUCUCUUAGGAGGUCGUGGUCGGCGUUUUGGUUUAGGCCAAGGACCAUUGCCGGUAGGCACUGGUUGCUCGGUUUUGUAGCCAAUAUUAACGUGCUUAUGUUGAGGUAAUGAAAUACAAGGAUGUCAGAGCUUACAUUUGGUACGAAGGAAUUUUAACAUGAUUUGAAAUAACGUGUUGGACUGGUUGUUGGGCAGCAACAAGGGAACCCACAUAAGAAAAUUUAUGAGCGUCAACUAGAGGUUAGAUAGAGGAAAGUAACAACAAGUAGGUGCCACUAGACAGAUUGAGGUCAUAUUAACUAGUCACAUACAGCUUAAAUCUCCUAAUUUUCUAGUACUAGUGCAAGGCAGAAUCCACAAAGGUUUAUUAAUGCUCUGGAGAAGCUAUAGAGAGCAUUAAGAUGCUCACACUUAAGGGCGGUAAAGUUAAUGUCAUCCAGUUGGAGGAUUGUAGCACAUGAUUGAUCUAAUGACUUUAUGGUACGUGAGCGAUUGGAUCACCUCUGAUAACGUGAACGAAUUUUCCUAGAAACUCAUAAAUCUUUUUCUUCUAAAUUGUUUGAUAUGACUUGACUUAUAAGUUUGAACUGCUGGAGAAAAUUGAUUAUAGUAGAUAAUCUUAAAACUUUAUGUAGAGUCAUAGACUAGAUUUAAGGGGUCCUUACGAUCCAUUUUUCGUCAAAUGCAUUUUUGCAUGAGAUCUACACCUUGUUUUGCUUGUCAAAAGAUCAUCAUGUAGCUUUCUUUGGAGAUAGUAGGGUGUGAUAUUAGCGCAGUCAGACAAGUAAUAUUAUGGAGGAUUGUCUUGUGAUUGUGGUGCAACUUCCUCUAGUCGUGGAUAAGCCUUAGUAGCAGCGUCUUUAGCAUUUUCUCUGACCCUUACAACACUUGGUGGCAGUUGGCCUUAGGAAUUGGUUGUGACGCGAAUGAUGCUUUGGGCAUUCAUAAUCUUCGGGAAUAGAAUCAAGAGAAGUUCUGUAACCAGAUUAGUCUAAUUUGAAUUGGCUUUGAAACUUCAAUUGAAGGAAGAUGGUGAGUUUAUAAAAAUGAGAGUGUGGAUGUGUGGUGUAAGAUCAUUGUUACAAUUUUUGUUGGAACAGUUGGCAUAAAGUUGCCUUGUCUCUUAUAGAAAAUGUAAUUACCUUGGAUUAGUUUCAGCAUGUUAGUGAAAUUGACUCUUGGCUUAAUACUUCUAUCGCGCUGUUUUGGGGAAUAUUGAGAAAGACAUGUAUUGUUUAAUAUACACAAAAAAACACAUUGGUAUUAUUGUUUUAAAGUUUUAAUAUUACUUAAUACUUAUUAUUAAUCUUGUUAUUAUACCCUUUAGCUGCUUUGAAGGAAAUGUGAUGAGAAGGUCAUGAAGUAUCUUAGAAGAGCAGUAAAGUAUUUGGUGGUUAAGGUCAAGGACAAAGUAGUGAAGUUUGAAUUACCUAGAGAGUCAUCUUUCUCAUUUAGAGAGAGUGAAGUUAGGAACAAUGCAAUCCAAUUUCAGCGGCGAAGUUAGAAGGUUCUUAAGGAAAGGUUGUCAUAGAUACUUGACUUUGGGUAAAAGGAUACUCAAGCAGCUGGAAAGAAAAAAUAGAAGAAAUAGUGUGCGACUUUGUGAUGAAUUUCUUGAUGUACUAAUCAAUAGACAAUAGGCGAAUAGAGUUUUCCAUAAAAAUUGGUUCCUAAUACCAAUCUUGUUUGUGGAGAAGCAAAGAGAAACUGUGUAGUUAUGUGUUGACUACAGGCGGUUGGAGAAUGUGGCAAAAAAAAAAAUAGUACCUUAUAUAGAUGAGUUGUUGAUUGGUUGCAUGAGCUCAAUAGUUAGAAAAGAAAAUAUGACUUGUGAUCUAGGUACCAUCAAAGGAAUAUCAAGAAGGAUAUAAUUUAGUAGAAAACUUUCAGAAUAUGUUGUGACCAUAACGAGAUAUUAGUCAUGUUUUUGGAUUUAGUGAUGCCACUGUUGUUAUAUGGAUUUAAUGAGCUACAUCUUUAAAUCACUCUUGAAAUAUUUAGUGAUUGUACUUAUUGAUUAGUCUUGUAUAUUCCUAAGGAUAAGGAAAAACACUAGAAGCUUGUUGAUAAUAGAGUUUGGUUUGGGUUGCUUGUUUCAACUCAUUGUUGGCUCAUCUAAAAAUUCAUUCUAUUUUGGUUGAUGAUGUUGAAUAUGAUCAAGGUCAAGAUUCGUAGGUGACGAAGGUGGUAGAGGAUUUCUAAUGUGGAAAGGUUCCACGUUUAAAGGUAGACUCUCGAUGACAUUUUAUGACUUUGAUGUUGGUUGUGUUGUGUGAGCCUAAUACUAGUAUGAGGAGGAAAAUAACAUAGGAUGCUUAUCAUUAUUUUUUAAAAUCAUACAUUGGGUUUUAAUAAAAUGCAUUAGGAUAUGAAGAAAUUUUGUUUAUGGGAAAGAAUGAAGAAAGACAUCGAAAAUUGAUUUAUGAAUGUUCAGCAUGUUAGCAAGUGAAGGUUGAGCAUUAAAGCGAGUUAUGUUGCUUCAGUCUAUUAAGAUACCAUAGGGAAAAUGAGAAGGUGUUGUUUCGAACUUGGUGAGAGGUUUGCUUUGGAAUAUAAUGAGUUAUGAUUUUGUAUCAGUGAUUAUGGAUUAACUGGUUGAGCAUGAACACUUUCGCCUAUAAAAGUACUUACACUACAACAUUGUAUGGUUUACCUUGGUUGAGAUUGUUUGUUUGCAUGGUGUAAACUUGUUUAUAAUUUCAGAUCAAGGAGCUUAAUUGAAUGCAUUAUUUUAGAAGACUGUCAAAGUUGUUGUGGGGUCCCAUUUGAAUUUGGGUACAACUUUCUAUCCUUAAAUUGAUGGCUGAUUUAAGAGGAUUAUUCAGAUCUCGGAAGAUAUAUUUUGUGCAUGUGUUUUUAGACUUUAGAAGGAGUUGAGAGCAUAAUUUGUCUUUAACGAAGUUCGCUUAUAAUAGCAACUAUCAGCCUAGCAUUAAUAUUGUACAAUUUGAGGCUUUGUAUAUAUGGUAGGGGAUGUAGGAAUCGAUAGAUUAGUUGAAUAUGGAGAAACUAAACUUGUACGUCCAUACCCUAUCCAAGAUGCAAUAGAGAAAGUUAGACUAGUUUAGGUCAUUUGGGUACAGGUCAAGGUAAACAAAAUUAUUAUGUUGAUUGGAGGCCACACCCUUUUGAGUUUGCAGUUGGUGACCCUAUGUUUUAAGUGUUUUUAUGAUAAAAGAAGUGGUGCAGUUUGGUAAAAAGGGAAAUGAGUCCAUGAUUGAUUGAGUCAUUUGAUAUAUAGGAGUAGUUGGCCCUAUGAAUUAUUGAUUGACAUCUCUACCGAAUUUUAUAUAGUUCACAAAGUUUCAUGUUUAUAUGCUUCAGAAAUAUCUCUAUGAUCCUUCCCUCGUUGUUUGUAAUGAGAAUGUAUUGUUAGAUGAACCUUUAUCUUAUAUGGAGUUUAUGGUAGGAAUAGUGGAUAGAAAGGGUGAGAUGCCUACAUUCUAAGGACCUUGGUUUAAUGAUAGUACCCUGGCAAUGAACAAUUGGUGAAGAGAUGACUUUGAAACCAAGGUAGAGUGAUGCACAAGACUUUAAAAUUCGAGGACGAAUUUUUCUAAGGGGGGAAGAUUGAAACAACCCGUUUUAUAUAAUUAUAUUAUUAUUAGAAAAUUGGAAAAGAAAAAAAAAGGAUUCACUAAACCUAACUUACCCUAACCCACGUUGCAGCCCCACACCCCAAUUACCAUUGUCAAUUACAAAAACAAAAAGAAACCUAACAUCCCCUUCAAUCUUCCCCACGCAUGUUACGAUCUCCCCACACAUAACGUCUUCGCUAUCAAGAGCAGCAAAACUGUUUUCCCUGGACACACUCCAACCUCCAUCCUUCUUUAGUUGUGUCACGUUCAGAGGGGAGUUCAACAGUAGCACCCAAGCAUGGCAAAGAUUAUGCAUUGCAUUGUGCCGUAGUUGGAAGGUAUGUCUUAGAUGGAGAAGCCCUUGGCACAAAGAUCUGUUGUGGCCCGUUAAUUUCCCAUUGAUUUGGUGAGCUAUUGAGAAGAAUGGAGUUUUCUAUGAUUUGGUGAGGAAUAUUUUCCCUUGCAAUGUCUAGAACCGAUUGUUGUUCAAACCAAAUUGUUGCAGCGCAUGGAAGGAUACAAAGUCAUGGAAGGAUACAAUGUCAGAUAUAGAUGAUACACAAGAAAGAUGCAAAUGGAUGCAUUUGGAUUUAGCUGGUUCGAGUAUUAUGAUGUGGCUGGAGCAAUCCACUUGAUUCAUUAUAGUGGUUGAUUCAUUGUAGUGAUUCUUCAGCAGCUGAGUAACAAGUUGUUCCUGGAUUCAGAUUGUCAGUGGUCUUGCUGGUAGGCCUCCAUCAGCUGGUGGCCUCAUUGCUAUUUUAUUUCUCUUGAUUCUAGUUAUCUGCAGCUAUAGGGAGUCAUAGGUGAAUUUAGUUUGGGGUUGACUGUAUCUUUUAAUUUUAAAGGUUGACAUUGAACGUCGAAUUUUGGUUUUGUACCUUUUCUUGAAAUUUUGGAUUUUGGAGAAUAUUAUUUAGCAGGUUGUGUUAUUUUGAGAUUACUGAAAUACAGAGGAGACUUUGUCGUUUUUUUUAUAAAUUUAUGCGGACGUAUUUAUCAUGGCGAAUUGGUUAUAAAUGGGUUAUGUGUAAAAGGCUUGCCGGACUUGGGGUGAUAGUCCGUGCGCCGGUCACGGCUUGGGAUUUUUGGGUCGUGACAAGAGUAUAAGAAGGCUUCAGGUCAACUUGUUAACUUGGACAAGUCAGAAAUUUCUUUCAGCCGAAACGUGCCAGAAACCAGUAUGGAAACGAUCCGAGAUAGGAUGGGUGUAAAGGUUGUGACUAUCCAUGAUAAUUACCUGGGUCUCCCUACUGUUAUUGGACAUUCAAAGAAGGCAAUCUUUGGGAAGAUACAAGAAAGAGUUUGGAGGAAGCUCCAAGGGUGGAAAGAGAAGACACUAUC
Molecule: long non-coding RNA, 5957 nt
Organism: Lotus japonicus
Lineage: Eukaryota; Viridiplantae; Streptophyta; Magnoliopsida; Fabales; Fabaceae
Exons: 5
Source: RefSeq, a predicted model, not a curated record